RNAcentral lists this ribosomal RNA (262 nucleotides) under uncultured bacterium. RNAcentral's name for it is "partial 16S ribosomal RNA". It matches the Rfam family "Bacterial small subunit ribosomal RNA", at positions 524 to 783 of the family's 1533-position model. The record is from RNAcentral.
UACGAAGGGGGGCUAGCGUUGCUCGGAAUCACUGGGCGUAAAGGGUGCGUAGGCGGGUCUUUUAAGUCAGGGGGUGAAAUCCUGGAGCUCAACUCCAGAACUGCCUUUGAUACUGGGGAUCUCGAUCCGGAAGAGGUAAGUGGAACUCCGAGUGUAGAGGUGAAAUUCGUAGAUAUUCGGAAGAACACCAGUAGCGAAGGCGGCACUCUGGGCCGGUACUGACGCUGAGGAGCGAAAGCGUGGGGAGCAAACAGGAUUAGAA